RNAcentral lists this ribosomal RNA (492 nucleotides) under uncultured bacterium. Its description in RNAcentral is "partial 16S ribosomal RNA". It matches the Rfam family "Bacterial small subunit ribosomal RNA", at positions 29 to 507 of the family's 1533-position model. The record is from RNAcentral.
AGUGAACGCUGGCGGUAGGCCUAACACAUGCAAGUCGAACGGCAGCACAGUAAGAGCUUGCUCUUACGGGUGGCGAGUGGCGGACGGGUGAGGAAUACAUCGGAAUCUACUUUUUCGUGGGGGAUAACGUAGGGAAACUUACGCUAAUACCGCAUACGACCUACGGGUGAAAGCAGGGGAUCUUCGGGCCUUGCGCGAUUGAAUGAGCCGAUGUCAGAUUAGCUAGUUGGCGGGGUAAAGGCCCACCAAGGCGACGAUCCGUAGCUGGUCUGAGAGGAUGAUCAGCCACACUGGAACUGAGACACGGUCCAGACUCCUACGGGAGGCAGCAGUGGGGAAUAUUGGACAAUGGGCGCAAGCCUGAUCCAGCCAUACCGCGUGGGUGAAGAAGGCCUUCGGGUUGUAAAGCCCUUUUGUUGGGAAAGAAAAGCAGCAGGUUAAUACCCCGCUGUUCUGACGGUACCCAAAGAAUAAGCACCGGCUAACUUCGUG